Molecule: long non-coding RNA, 1366 nt
Organism: Vigna unguiculata (cowpea)
Lineage: Eukaryota; Viridiplantae; Streptophyta; Magnoliopsida; Fabales; Fabaceae
Source: RefSeq, a predicted model, not a curated record
UUCAUCUCAUCACUUAACGUCGAGCAUCCUUUUUAAUAACUACAUCAUGUUUUUAAUUCUAUCUUCAUUCAUUCAUAUUCUGGAAAAGAAUCUCAACCGUUCCAAAUUCUCACACUCCAUCACAUCUCUUGGCAGUUUACAUCUCUCAAUUCUCCUUUCUCAUUUUAUUCAGCCCCAACUACACACGAUCCCGAUGAUGUUCUGGAGCAAUUCCGACGAUGUUCCCGUGCGAUUCUGACGAGCUUCCACGGUCAACAAUGACAACAAAUUUGCUAUUAAACCAUUUUCAUGGAGAAUUUUGCUAUUAUUACUACAUGAAGAAUUUGGUAUCUCAUUUUCGUUCUCCAUCUCCAACAACCGCCCUUCACAAACCCUAAUAUGAUGUCGAAAUUCACGAAAGAGGUCAAAUAGUGGGAGCACCACGUCAACUGCUGCAUGUUCCCCACCGGAGCACCACUCCCAGGCCAGGAGCACCUCAACUGCCCCAUCGUUGUUGAGUACGAAGGUCCUCGAGUUCCGUAUAUGAUGUUCCUAAGCUUGAUUCGCUCGAAAUUGGCACCACUGUAUCCGCCAUUCUAAUUUGCACGACUUCAAUAGUGGUUUGAAUGAUUGAAUCUGGUGUGCUUUUGUUUUUUGUUUCGUAGAGUAAGUAAUUAAUUGCUAUUUUCAUUUAUUUGGAGAGUACUCUGCUUCAUCUAGCAAUCAGAGGGGAUCUCUUAUUACAUUUGUGAAUGGUUGGAAUGGGGUGGAGAUCGUUAAUGCGAUGCACCUAGGUAUAACGCACUUUCUCUACUCAAAUUAAUGCAACUUAGCUCAUUUAAUGAUUAGGUCGUUUAUAGGUAGAUUCACUUAUGUUUUACCCUGCAUCUUUUGCUCAUUAUCUCAUUUUGCAUGCUUGUGUCUACAAUUAUUUGAAUAAAUAGUUUUGUCCUAGAAUUAAUUUGUAAUCUAUUUUUCUGUGUGCACGUUGAUGCAACCAACUAAAUAUAUAGACAUCUGUAGUUACGUGAUUUUGGUUUCUUUCGUUAUGAUCCUAGUGGUACUCAAUUUUUGAACCAUGAAGAGAUACCUCUUGCACUUGAAGCUGCCCGUGUUGGACUAGAAAUUAGAGUUGUCGGCAAUGAUUGUGGUGAAAAGGUGCUUUUUCAACUAAUUCAGCAACAUGAAGUUUUCCUUUGGGUAGAUGUUUCACAUCCCCUUUCGCAACCUUCUCCACUUCCUCAGCCACUUCUACAAUAUCUACCAUACGUUCUGCUUCGUCUAUUGUUGUCUAAUUUUUUUUCUAUACAAAGAUAAAAAAUUCUGCUAUAAUAUUGAAAAAUAGUUUCUUUAAACGUUAUAAUUAACGAUGUUCUUAUUAUUUUAA